This is a long non-coding RNA of Telopea speciosissima, 218 nucleotides long. RefSeq lists it as uncharacterized. The transcript is spliced from 3 exons. The record is from RefSeq and is a predicted model, not a curated record. Lineage: Eukaryota; Viridiplantae; Streptophyta; Magnoliopsida; Proteales; Proteaceae.
AAGGCGGUGUGCCGGCUGCUGCUGCUGCUGCUGCUACUGCCAGUGCAAACAAAAGAAUGGGAGGAAGGAAAUUGUUGCUGGGUAGUAUCUUGAUGAAGAAUAUGAUGGAAGAAGCAAAUGUGAAUGGAAAAGCUACAAAGAUUUCAGGAGAGGAUAGGAAUGCUUCAAAGAAGCCACUUGGAACAUCACACAAGUACAUUCAGAAAAGUAGCAAUUUG